UAUUUCAAUGCUAAAGCAAAAAUCAAUGAGAGGUGUGCUGUUGUUUGAGAAAUCCUGCUUGUCACUGACAAUAUGUCCUAACCACGGUGCUGCAGUGGGACUCAUCUCGUUAGAGCCUGACAAGGAACGUCUUGCUGUAGUGGUGUCACACAAUGCUCAUCAGCUGUUGCUAGAAGGACAAAAUGACAACAGUUAAUUAAGAUUCCAUAAAUGCUGGUGGCUGGAAACCCUCCUACCCGUGACCCGUGCUCUGGCAGGUAGGCUGUUAGUUUGGGAUAUACUGGUGUGAAAACUCACGGUAUUAACACAGGACCAUAGAAGGGCCCACAUGAAAGGGGUGCCAAUUAUUCUUCUUCUGGAAAUUGCACCAAAGAUGGACUGCCUUCAGCCUGGAUUGUCAAUAAUUUGUAUCCAAUACAUCAAUAUGUGACUUCAGGCUGUGUCCUUUGUGCUAAACCUUUACUGAAAGAGGGUAGAUUGAGAUUAGACAUAAAGAAAUUCUCUACUCUGAGGGUGGUGAGGCAGUGGACUGGGUUGCCCAGAGAAGCUGUGAAUGCCCCAUCCCUGGACAUGUUCAGGGCCAGGUUGGAUGGGGCCCUGGGCAACCUGAUCUAAUGGAAGGUGACCCUGCCCACGGCAGCAGGGUUGGACAAAAUAAUCCUUAAGGUUUCUGCCAAUCCAAACCACUCUGUGAUUCUAUAAUGGUGGCCAAAGGCAUCCCUGUGGAAUAGGUUGCUAUCUCAUCUGAGGAGUGAGUUAUAACCAGCUCGUAGUAGGCUCAUAAAACCAGGGGAAUGCUUCCUGGACAGCUGGAAUUUUGUGAGAAACCAUUUUUCUGUGUGCGUGACAGGAGGGGUGCUCUGCCGAGCCUCCACACCAUGCCCAUGUACCCCACAGCGCAGCGGCUGGGCACCCGCUCCCUCAGCCCCCGCCUCCCCAGGCUCUCCUCAGUGCCCUCCCGGCCUGUCCGCCAAAGAUGGAGCCUGGCUGCAGCCAGGGGAGGCCGCUUGUGCCACACAUUUAUGUCAACAGCUUCGGCUCCCACCGCUGUGGUUCCCUCAUCCGCUGUGGCAGGGGCUACAAGUGGGCUGAUGCGGGCCAGUCUAGGAUCCUGCUUUCCCAGCAGAGCCCCAUGGACAGGAGAAGGGGGCAGAGGGCAGCCAAGGCGCGUGGGGACAAGGCUGACCCCAAGCCAUCGGGCGCUGCUGGCAGGGCGCAGGCAGUGGAGAGCUGUGGUGGGGUGAAGGACACCAGCCUGUGCCAUGAUGACCUUCAAAAGGAGAAGCCUGACACCUUUGACUUUCCCUGCCCAUCAAGAAACGUUGAAAAAGUAAUUAAACGAAAGAAGAAAAAGUACAAAGUCUGGAUUAAAGUCUGGAAAGUAAUUUCAAAAAUGCUUGAAGAAAAUGAAAAGUUCAGAAGUCGACUGUCUGCUUGUAGUCAGUUUAAUGGAGAAGGCAAUGAUAUGAAGCAAAGUUCACAGAAUGAGACAUUCUCCCUGGACAGGGAAGAGUCCAUCUUCGGUUGGGUAUAG
This 1534-nucleotide long non-coding RNA is filed under the name Anas platyrhynchos platyrhynchos (common mallard). RNAcentral's name for it is "lncRNA (ENSAPLG00000030854.1)". The record is from RNAcentral. Lineage: Eukaryota; Metazoa; Chordata; Aves; Anseriformes; Anatidae.